AUGUUUAUUUACUUCAAUAAGUAAUUUAGAAAAAAUGAUUUUCUAGAAUUUUUUUCUAUCACAACUUAAUUACUUUUACAUUGAAAAGAAUUCUUCAAGUAAAUUGGUAAACAUUGUUACCCAACAUCAUAUUUUUUCGGUGGAAAACUUAUCCAGCAUCUAAGAAAAGGAACAAUGUCCUAGUUGUAUUAACUAUAAAUCUAUUUUCUACAUAUAGAUAAUUUAUGUAAACCCUACAUGAGUUCAGAUUAAAGUCACC
This 259-nucleotide long non-coding RNA is filed under the name Elaeis guineensis (African oil palm). Its description in RNAcentral is "long non-coding RNA (EGUI_LNC019744)". The record is from RNAcentral. Lineage: Eukaryota; Viridiplantae; Streptophyta; Magnoliopsida; Arecales; Arecaceae.